UGGGGAAUAUUGCACAAUGGGGGAAACCCUGAUGCAGCAACGCCGCGUGAGUGAUGAAGGUUUUCGGAUCGUAAAGCUCUGUCUUUGGGGAAGAUAAUGACGGUACCCAAGGAGGAAGCCACGGCUAACUACGUGCCAGCAGCCGCGGUAAUACGUAGGUGGCGAGCGUUAUCCGGAUUUACUGGGCGUAAAGGGAGCGUAGGCGGAUGAUUAAGUGGGAUGUGAAAUACCCGGGCUCAACUUGGGUGCUGCAUUCCAAACUGGUUAUCUAGAGUGCAGGAGAGGAGAGUGGAAUUCCUAGUGUAGCGGUGAAAUGCGUAGAGAUUAGGAAGAACACCAGUGGCGAAGGCGACUCUCUGGACUGUAACUGACGCUGAGGCUCGAAAGCGUGGGGAGCAAACAG
RNAcentral lists this ribosomal RNA (403 nucleotides) under uncultured bacterium. RNAcentral describes it as "bacterial SSU rRNA". It matches the Rfam family "Bacterial small subunit ribosomal RNA", at positions 355 to 775 of the family's 1533-position model. The record is from RNAcentral.